AACGAACGCUGGCGGCAUGCCUAACACAUGCAAGUCGAACGAGAUCUUCGGGUCUAGUGGCGCACGGGUGCGUAACGCGUGGGAAUCUGCCCUUUGGUUCGGAAUAACAGUUGGAAACGACUGCUAAUACCGGAUGAUGACGAAAGUCCAAAGAUUUAUCGCCAGAGGAUGAGCCCGCGUAGGAUUAGCUAGUUGGUGUGGUAAAGGCGCACCGAGGCGACGAUCCUUAGCUGGCCCGAGAGGAUGAUCAGCCACACUGGGACUGAGACACGGCCCAGACUCCUACGGGAGGCAGCAGUGGGGAAUAUUGGACAAUGGGCGAAAGCCUGAUCCAGCAAUGCCGCGUGAGUGAUGAAGGCCUUAGGGCUGUAAAGCUCUUUUACCCGGGAUGAUAAUGACAGUACCGGGAGAAUAAGCUCCGGCUAACUCCGUGCCAGCCGCCGCGGUAA
This 449-nucleotide ribosomal RNA is filed under the name uncultured bacterium. RNAcentral describes it as "partial 16S ribosomal RNA". It matches the Rfam family "Bacterial small subunit ribosomal RNA", at positions 29 to 523 of the family's 1533-position model. The record is from RNAcentral.